Molecule: ribosomal RNA, 490 nt
Filed under: uncultured bacterium
Lineage: Bacteria
Description: partial 16S ribosomal RNA
Rfam family: Bacterial small subunit ribosomal RNA
Source: RNAcentral
AUUGAACGCUGGCGGCAGGCCUAACACAUGCAAGUCGAACGGUAACACGAUACGGCUUUCUGCUUUGCUGAGGCGUGUCGGGCGGGCGAGUGAUGUCUGGGGGACUCUCCUUUUUCGGGGGGGAUCUACUGGGAACGGUUACUAUUACCCCAUAUCCUCCCAAGGCCAAAGAGCGGGAGCUUAUCGCAUCUUGCCAUCUGGUAUGCCCAGAUGGGAUUAGCUAGUGGGGGGGGUAAAGGCGCACCCAGGCGACGAUCCCUAGCUGGUCUGAGAGGAUGAUCAGCCACACUGGAACUGAGACACGGUCCAGACUCCUACGGGAGGCAGCAGUGGGGAAUAUUGGACAAUGGGCGCAAGCCUGAUGCAGCCAUGCCGCGUGUAUGAAGAAGGCCUUCGGGUUGUAAAGUACUUUCAGCGGGGAGGAAGGGAGUAAAGUUAAUACCUCUCCUCAUUGACGGUACCCGAAGAAGAAGCACCGGCUAACUCCGUG